GUUGACCUCGGAUCAGGUAGGGAUACCCGCUGAACUUAAGCAUAUCAAUAAGCGGAGGAAAAGAAACCAACAGGGAUUGCCCUAGUAACGGCGAGUGAAGCGGCAACAGCUCAAAUUUGAAAUCUGGCGCAAGCCCGAGUUGUAAUUUGUAGAGGAUGCUUCUGGGUAGCGACCGAUCUAAGUUCCUUGGAACAGGACGUCAUAGAGGGUGAGAAUCCCGUAUGUGACCGGCCCGCACCCUUUACGUAGCUCCUUCGACGAGUCGAGUUGUUUGGGAAUGCAGCUCUAAAUGGGAGGUAAAUUUCUUCUAAAGCUAAAUACCGGCCAGAGACCGAUAGCGCACAAGUAGAGUGAUCGAAAGAUGAAAAGUACUUUGGAAAGAGAGUUAAAAAGCACGUGAAAUUGUUGAAAGGGAAGCGCCUGCAACCAGACUUCGCGGCAGUGUUCCGCCGGUCUUCUGACCGGUUCAUUCUCUGUCGCGAGGCCAUCAUCGUCUGGGCCCGCCGGAUAAGACCUGAGGAAUGUGGCUCCCCCUCGGGGGAGUGUUAUAGCCUCUGGUGAUGCGGCGUGGCUCGGGCGAGGUCCGCGCUUCGGCAAGGAUGAUGGCGUAAUGGUUGUCGGCGGCCCGUCUUGAAACACGGACCAAGGAGUCUAACAUCUAUGCGAGUGUUCGGGUGUCAAACCCCUACGCGUAAUGAAAGUGAACGGAGGUGGGAACCGCAAGGUGCACCAUCGACCGAUCCUGAUGUCCUCGGAUGGAUUUGAGUAAGAGCAUAGCUGUUGGGACCCGAAAGAUGGUGAACUAUGCCUGAAUAGGGUGAAGCCAGAGGAAACUCUGGUGGAGGCUCGCAGCGGUUCUGACGUGCAAAUCGAUCGUCAAAUUUGGGUAUAGGGGCGAAAGACUAAUCGAACCAUCUAGUAGCUGGUUCCUGCCGAAGU
RNAcentral lists this ribosomal RNA (939 nucleotides) under Cercospora acaciae-mangii. RNAcentral's name for it is "LSU rRNA". It matches the Rfam family "Eukaryotic large subunit ribosomal RNA", at positions 1 to 967 of the family's 3401-position model. Lineage: Eukaryota; Fungi; Ascomycota; Dothideomycetes; Mycosphaerellales; Mycosphaerellaceae. The record is from RNAcentral. RNAcentral also lists the same sequence under 10 other names.